GGGUAGAUAGAUGCUUACACAUGCAAGUCGAUUCAAGUUACCUUCGGGUAAUGAGGAUGGCGGACGGGUGAGUAACGCGUAAGGAACUUGCCUCUUGGACUGGGACAACUGUUGGAAACGACAGCUAAUACCGGAUAUUAUGAGAUUCUCGCAUGAGAAACUUAUGAAAGCUAUAUGCGCCAAGAGAGAGCCUUGCGUUCCAUUAGCUAGUUGGUGGGGUAACGGCCCACCAAGGCGACGAUGGAUAGCCGGCCUGAGAGGGUGAACGGCCACAAGGGGACUGAGACACGGCCCUUACUCCUACGGGAGGCAGCAGUGGGGAAUAUUGGACAAUGGGCCACAAGCCUGAUCCAGCAAUUCUGUGUGCACGAUGAAGGUCUUCGGAUUGUAAAGUGCUUUCAGUUGGGAAGAAGAAAGUGACGGUACCAACAGAAGAAGCGACGGCUAAAUACGUGCCAGCAGCCGCGGUAAUACGUAUGUCGCAAGCGUUAUCCGGAUUUAUUGGGCGUAAAGCGCGUCUAGGCGGAAAAAUAAGUCUGAUGUUAAAAUGCGGGGCUCAACUCCGUAUUGCGUUGGAAACUGUUUUUCUAGAGUACUGGAGAGGUGGGCGGAACUACAAGUGUAGAGGUGAAAUUCGUAGAUAUUUGUAGGAAUGCCGAUGGAGAAGUCAGCUCACUGGACAGAUACUGACGCUGAAGCGCGAAAGCGUGGGGAGCAAACAGGAUUAGAUACCCUGGUAGUCCACGCCGUAAACGAUGAUCACUAGGUGUUGGGGGUCGAACCUCAGCGCCCAAGCUAACGCGAUAAGUGAUCCGCCUGGGGAGUACGCACGCAAGUGUGAAACUCAAAGGAAUUGACGGGGACCCGCACAAGCGGUGGAGCAUGUGGUUUAAUUCGACGCAACGCGAGAAACCUUUACCAGCGUUUGACAUCCUAAGAAGUUUCCAGAGAUGGAUUCGUGCCGGCUUGCCCGGAACUUAGUGACAGGUGUGGCAUGGCUGUCGCAGCUCGUGUCGUGAGAGUUGGGGUUAGUUCCGCAU
Molecule: ribosomal RNA, 1040 nt
Filed under: uncultured bacterium
Lineage: Bacteria
Description: bacterial SSU rRNA
Rfam family: Bacterial small subunit ribosomal RNA
Source: RNAcentral